RNAcentral lists this ribosomal RNA (467 nucleotides) under uncultured bacterium. RNAcentral's name for it is "partial 16S ribosomal RNA". It matches the Rfam family "Bacterial small subunit ribosomal RNA", at positions 28 to 507 of the family's 1533-position model. The record is from RNAcentral.
GACGAACGCUGGCGGCGUGCUUAACACAUGCAAGUCGAACGGAAAGGCUCCAGCUUGCUGGAGCACUCGAGUGGCGAACGCGUGAGUAACACGUGGGUAAUCCGCCCUGCACUCUGGGAUAAGCCUGGGAAACAGGGUCUAAUACUGGAUAUGACCUUUCUCCUUAUGGGGUUUGGUGGAAAGUUUUUCGGUGUAGGAUGAGCCCGCGGCCUAUCAGCUUGCUGGUGGGGUGAUGGCCUACGAAGGCGACGAGGGGUAGCCGACCUGAGAGGGUGGUCGGCGACAUGGGGACUGAGAGAGGGCCCAGACGCCUACGGGAGGCAGCAGUGGGGAGUAUUGCGCAAUGGGGGGAAGCCUGAUGCAGCGACGCCGCGUGCGGGAUGACGGCCUUUGAGUGGUGAACCUCUUUCAGCAGGGACGAGGCGUAAGUGACGGUACCUGCAGAGGAAGCACCGGCUAACUAUGUG